UCCUACGGGGCGCAGCAGUGGGGAAUAUUGCACAAUGGGGGAAACCCUGAUGCAGCGACGCCGCGUGAGUGAAGAAGUAAUUCGUUAUGUAAAGCUCUAUCAGCAGGGAAGAAAAUGACGGUACCUGAGUAAGAAGCCCCGGCUAACUACGUGCCAGCAGCCGCGGUAAUACGUAGGGGGCAAGCGUUAUCCGGAUUUACUGGGUGUAAAGGGAGCGUAGACGGCAUGGCAAGUCUGAUGUGAAAACCCGGGGCUCAACCCCGGGACUGCAUUGGAAACUGUCAGGCUAGAGUGUCGGAGAGGCA
This 305-nucleotide ribosomal RNA is filed under the name uncultured bacterium. Its description in RNAcentral is "bacterial SSU rRNA". It matches the Rfam family "Bacterial small subunit ribosomal RNA", at positions 337 to 659 of the family's 1533-position model. The record is from RNAcentral.